RNAcentral lists this transfer RNA (33 nucleotides) under Lonicera maackii (Amur honeysuckle). Its description in RNAcentral is "partial tRNA-Leu". RNAcentral also lists the same sequence under 35 other names. Lineage: Eukaryota; Viridiplantae; Streptophyta; Magnoliopsida; Dipsacales; Caprifoliaceae. The record is from RNAcentral.
GACUUAAAAUCCGUCGACUUUAGAAAUCGUGAG